UUGAACGCUGGCGGCAUGCUUUACACAUGCAAGUCGAACGGCAGCGCGGGGGCAACCUUGGCGGCGAGCGGCGAACGGGUGAGUAACAUAUUGGAACGUACCCAGACGUGGGGGACAACUAGUCGAAAGACUAGCUAAUACCGCAUACGUCCUGAGGGAGAAAGCGGGGGAUCGCAAGACCUCGCGCGUUUGGAGCGGCCGAUAUCUGAUUAGCUAGAUGGUGGGGUAAAGGCUCACCAUGGCGACGAUCAGUAGCUGGUCUGAGAGGAUGAUCAGCCACACUGGAACUGAGACACGGUCCAGACUCCUACGGGAGGCAGCAGUGGGGAAUUUUGGACAAUGGGGGAAACCCUGAUCCAGCCAUUCCGCGUGAGUGAAGAAGGCCUUCGGGUUGUAAAGCUCUUUCGGCAGGAACGAAACGGCGGAAUCUAAUACAUUCCACUAAUGACGGUACCUGAAGAAGAAGCACCGGCUAACUACGU
This 482-nucleotide ribosomal RNA is filed under the name uncultured bacterium. RNAcentral describes it as "bacterial SSU rRNA". It matches the Rfam family "Bacterial small subunit ribosomal RNA", at positions 30 to 506 of the family's 1533-position model. The record is from RNAcentral.